CCUACGGGUGGCAGCAGUGGGGAAUAUUGGGCAAUGGACGCAAGUCUGACCCAGCAACGCCGCGUGCAGGAAGAAGGCUUUCUGGUUGUAAACUUCUUUUAAGGGGGAAGAGCAGAAGACGAUACGCCUUGAAUAAGCCACGGCUAACUAAGUGCCAGCAGCCGCGGUAGUACGUAGGUGGCAAGCGUUGUCCGGAUUUACUGGGUGUAAAGGGCGUGCAGCCGGAGAGACAAGUCAGAUGUGAAAUCCAAGGGCUCAACCCGUGAACUGCAUUUGAAACUGUUUCCCUUGAGUGUCGGAGAGGUAAUCGGAAUGCCUUGUGUAGCGGUGAAAUGCGUAGAGAUAAUGCAGAACACCAGUGGCGAAGGCGGAUUACUGGACGAUAACUGACGGUGAGGCGCGAAAGCGUGGGGAGCAAACAGGAUUAGAUACCCUUGUAGUC
Molecule: ribosomal RNA, 442 nt
Filed under: uncultured bacterium
Lineage: Bacteria
Description: partial 16S ribosomal RNA
Rfam family: Bacterial small subunit ribosomal RNA
Source: RNAcentral